GUUAAGUUUUCUAGAUAUAUAGUUAAUACUUCCAAAUAUUUAUUUCAUGAUUUACGAAAUACUGCGAAUUUAAUACAAAAAGAUGAACUUUUCAUUAUGCCCAAACCAAUAAUUUUUUAUUUUUUUAAAAAAACAAGAAUAAUAAACCCUGCUAUUGAGGAAGAAAAAGAAAAAAAAAGAAAUUUCUCACUCGAGCAUUAAAAUUCAAAAUACAACUGCAUUUAUCUACAUAAAAUACCGGCGGUAACGCAGAUAAUUAAAUAGUCAUCAAAUCAAUGGCCGGAGCGAUCUAUCUAGUUCCUGAGAAGCGCAGCAACAGAGAAGAUCAGCGAGGAGCAGAUAAUCGCACUGGAAAUCGGUAGUGAAAACGCGGCGCCUUGGUCCGGCGACGGUGCCGGAGCCAAUGUCGGUUCCUGAGCGGAAGCAACCGCCGACAAAAUCGCAACAAUUGCAAAAAACACGGCCAUAGCUUUCACUUCCAUAUCGAGGAGAACCGGAAAAUUCAGUGAAUCGGAGAGAAAAUUGAAGUUAUAGAUAGAUCGGAAUUGGAAUUGAGAUUGGGAUGUUCUCCAGCACAGGUGACUUGAAUUCGCUUCUACCAUGUAAUGUUUUGGGAAGCUCUGCCCUUCUUCAAGACAAUCGGGGCAAAAUGC
RNAcentral lists this unclassified non-coding RNA (653 nucleotides) under Hevea brasiliensis (rubber tree). Lineage: Eukaryota; Viridiplantae; Streptophyta; Magnoliopsida; Malpighiales; Euphorbiaceae. The record is from RNAcentral.